RNAcentral lists this transfer RNA (73 nucleotides) under Planctomycetaceae bacterium. Its description in RNAcentral is "tRNA-Met". It matches the Rfam family "tRNA". Rfam says of the family: Transfer RNA (tRNA) molecules are approximately 80 nucleotides in length. Their secondary structure includes four short double-helical elements and three loops (D, anti-codon, and T loops). Lineage: Bacteria; Pseudomonadati; Planctomycetota; Planctomycetia; Planctomycetales; Planctomycetaceae. RNAcentral also lists the same sequence under 1 other name. The record is from RNAcentral.
GGCAGUGUAGCUCAGUUGGUAGAGCAGCGGGGUCAUAAUCCGCUUGCCGGGGGUUCGAGUCCCUCCGCUGCUA